CAAGUUUAAUAUUAAAGGCAAGUCCAAGGUCAAGAUGGGCAUAGGGAGGCUUUCGGGAGCUAGUGUAGUUUAUAUUUUGGCCAGUCAGCUGAGGAACCACGUGGAACUAAAAUUAGUAAAGUGUGUGCAGUGAAGAAAGUUCACACGGUGUAAUAUGCUGUGGGCAGUAUUAGCGUUGAUUUACCCAAUCUGUUAAUGGUAUGGUCUGUGUAGACCUUUGGAACAUUCCUUAGCUCCUUAUUUAAUGUAGGAAGAAUCAUUCUAAAAUUAGCAUAUAAAUUAUCCAGUCAGCAGCCCUUUAAAACAGUGUUAUACCCUUGUCAUGGCACAGUAACUAUUUUAAAAAACAGAUUCCCAAUCAGGCACAAUAUCAUGAAGAAGCUCUCAGCUUUAGAUUGCGUGCUGAAAAGAGAGCAUAAACCUGAGAAAAAAUUUUUUUUUUUAAGUAUAAAAUGGGGAAAUGGUCAGGAUUUGAUUUGGGUAUCCUGACUCUUGGAUACGUGGCAAAUGCAGUAAGUCAACCUAUUUUCUAAUUCUAGUUUAUUUAUAUUUUGAGAUAUAUUUCAAACUGGUGAUUACAGCAGGUGUUACAUGAUUGUUGUAUUGCCUCCUUAUUGCUUGUAAUUUCACUGGAUAUUUUAAAAUAAUUUUAGGAAGAUAAUGAUAUUUUCAGAAGUAGACAGCCUUAUAAGUAGAACUUGAAAAUUAGAUGUGAAAUCUUUUGUUUUACAUUUUAAAGGUCAACAAGAAUGCAUAAUAUGUAAUCUGUUUGCUAAGUUACCAUUCAGUGGGCACUGAUUAUCAGGACAAUUAAUUACCUGAUGAUAAUUUAAAAGGAAAAUAUUACUUCAGAAUAAAUACUGAAUUUGUCUUGGAAAUAGUUUUGAA
RNAcentral lists this long non-coding RNA (888 nucleotides) under Dromaius novaehollandiae (emu). RNAcentral describes it as "lncRNA (ENSDNVG00000012936.1)". The record is from RNAcentral. Lineage: Eukaryota; Metazoa; Chordata; Aves; Casuariiformes; Dromaiidae.